GACGAACGCUGGCGGCGUGCUUAACACAUGCAAGUCGAGCGGUAAGGCCCUUUCGGGGGUACGACGAGCGGCGAACGGGUGAGUAACACGUGGGUGACCUGCCCUCAGCUCUGGGAUAAGCCUGGGAAACCGGGUCUAAUACCGGAUAUGACUCCAUGACGCAUGUUGUGGGGUGGAAAGCCUUGUGCGGCUGAGGAUGGGCCCGCGGCCUAUCAGCUUGUUGGGUGGGGUGAGGCCUACCAAGGCGACGACGGGUAGCCGGCCUGAGAGGGCGACCGGCCACACUGGGACUGAGACACGGCCCAGACUCCUACGGGAGGCAGCAGUGGGGGAAUCUUGCGGCAAUGGGCGAAAGCCUGACGCAGCGACGCCGCGUGAGUGAUG
This 384-nucleotide ribosomal RNA is filed under the name uncultured bacterium. RNAcentral describes it as "bacterial SSU rRNA". It matches the Rfam family "Bacterial small subunit ribosomal RNA", at positions 28 to 410 of the family's 1533-position model. The record is from RNAcentral.